CUUGGUGCUCAAGGCUCAGUUGGACCCACACCAAUCCAUCCCGAACUUGGUGGUGAAAAAGCUGAGGGAUUUAGAUACUAUAUGGGUAGCUGUAUGGAAAACUAAAUUUAGUGCCAGGGAU
Molecule: ribosomal RNA, 121 nt
Filed under: Chlamydomonas peterfii
Lineage: Eukaryota; Viridiplantae; Chlorophyta; Chlorophyceae; Chlamydomonadales; Chlamydomonadaceae
Source: RNAcentral